GAACAAUGAAUGACAGUUAAGUCGGUCCUGUUAUCUGAUGUAGUGUUUUGGGUACCUUUAUGCCUGAUAGUGUUUUAUUCACAUACUGAGAAACUGCAAUUUAACUUUAUAUUCACAUGCAUUUCAGGUUUAUGUAGUGCUGCGAAUAUAUAUGGAUGCAUUCUGGCUGAUGAUAUGGGGUAAAUAUUACUAUGUAUCUUUUUAACAAUGUGUCUGCAAAUACAUCCAAUGUUACUUAUUUGAUCUGUGUUAUAGGUUAUUAGUAUUCUUGGUUUAAUUUGUACAUUUUGAGAAAAAAUACCCACUGAAGCUCGACUUUAGUCCGUCAGAGUUUGAUGACUAAAAAGUCCUUAGAUGUGAGUUUCAGUGUGCCCUAAAAGUGACUGCCAAUUAAAGCUGCAUUACUACCACUUAAGAGGAGAUAUAGGGUACCUGUUGAAUUUCCUCUCCCAUCUUUCCUUUGUGUCAAGCCUACAGUAUUUGUCAUCCCAAAUGAAAGUGGAAUUAUACAAUAUUUGUCAUCUUGUGGGUUUCCUUUUUUAAGUUGAACUUCUAUAGUUUCUUACAUUCUCAUUAUUGAUUUUCAAAGCUGUAGCUUAAUGUUUUUAAGGUUGUGUUUCUUUUACACAGUUAUGGUAUUUUUAGGGGCUAGGUUUCAUAAUGGUAGGAAAUUAGUAACAGUAAAUAUAUCCUUACAUGGUUACAUUGUAUAUGAUAUAAAAUAGCAUAUGGAGUUGGUGGAGUUUCACUGUUUGUGCAGCUCCACAAACUUGUAGCUUGGUAUAUUUUAUGCUAUGCUUGGUUAAGCUUUCAUGGUAUCUGUAUGGGCUGGUGUGUAGUAUAUCAUGUAUCCUUGACGUGGCUUCAUUAUGUUUAUUAUAUUAGGUUUAAAAUAACCUUUCAACUUAAGUAGUGUACAACGUUUAGGAGGUUUUUACUGGCUUAUUGAUAAUCUUGGUGUAGUUUGGGACUUAAACCUUUGCCUUCACUUAAACCUUGGGAUCAACUCCAGGCCCACCAAAAUUGGCGAAGUUAACGCAAAGUUAACCCUACCAAAAUUGGUUCAAGUCUCUCCCUCAUCUUCAUUAAUUCGGGAUCACCACCAGAUCCAAUAAGACCUCAGAGGUUGAGAAAAAAACCUUCCCUGUGUGCUUAGAUCUAACAUUAUUUCCUGUGUUUUAAUUUUUACUUGCAUUUUGUUUUUUUUCUUUCCCAUGUUUUUUCAAGUUCCAAAUAGUGCCUUGUAGAUUUCCUUUUUGUUGAUGUGGUUUACUGGGUAUGGCCUAGGUAAUAAUUUGUUUCCCCUUGGCUAGACCCCCCUAAAUAGAAACCAAUCAAACCAUGUGCCACGUAGAACUCGUCCCUACAGAGUAAACCCCAGAUUUAUUGCAGUUUGAACAAUGAAUGAUAGUUAAGUCGGUCCUGUUAUCCGAUGUAGUGUUUUGGGUACCUUUAUGCCUGAUAAUGUUUUAUUCACAUACUGAGAAACUGCAAUUUAACUUUAUAUUCACAUGCAUUUCAGGUUUAUGUAGUGCUGCGAAUAUAUAUGGAUGCAUUCUGGCUGAUGAUAUGGGGUAAGUAUUACUGUGUAUCUUUUUGACAAUGUGUCUGCAAAUACAUCCAAUGUUACUUAUUUGAUCAGUGUUAUAGGUUAUUAGUAUUCUUGGUUUAAUUUGUAGUGGAAUGAUUACAGGGGAUUUAGCUUAAAUGAUGAAUUUGUCAUGAAUUGCUAAUUCUAGAUUAUAUUUUGCUAUUAUUAUUGGCUUAAAUAUUUUUGGUUAUGGUCAAAGGUCGCAAAGUUUUUUAUCUUUCAAAAACUAAUAGAGGAACGUGUUAGAGAAUAACAACACAACGAAAAACAAUAGCAAAGAAAAAAUUAAAAGAAAACAAUCGCACAAGACACAAAAUUUACGUGGUUCAAGUUUUAAUAUCUAUAUUACUUUAGUUUAAAGAAAUUUGAGUUGUGUUAAGACCUUUCAAUCCUACUCAAGAAUUUUGGUAAAAGAAAAAGAGGCAUCAAAGCAAAAAACAUUUCACUAAACAAAAUUAGAUUUUGAAGGGAAAAUGAUUGGCUUAUUUCCAAUUGGCCUCACUAGAUUUUGUAUCUAUAAUCUACAUUGCAGUUAAGGAAGCGUUUUAGGGUAUGUUAGUAAAAUGUGUUUAUAGUAUUUGCUACAGUAAUGCUUGUGCGUUUGGUCACCAUAAGGUGAUUUUAAAUUUCAAACUUUACUUUUAUGAAUUAAACUUUACUUUGAACAGACAAUAAGUGAUUUAAAGUGAUUCAAAAUGAUUUAAAGUGAUUCAGGAUAAAAGUGAUUCUUUUAAUAAAAAGAGUUGCUAUAUCAAGACCUUGCUAAAAUAGAUAGAAGAGGACCUUUUAGUGAUAGACGUUGACAUUGUUCUUCGGUGGUUUGACGUUGACCUUUUAGUGAUAACCCAUCACUGACCAAACAAUUGUCUAGGUUUGAAAGUCUCUCUGACUAAGACUCUAUAUUUCUCUACUUCUCAUGCAGACACACAACACACAAUACAUGCAAAAAAAGACACAUAAUUGUAACCAAUCAAACACUCGCAAAUCAAACUCUCACACCAUUAUACUGCCACCAAUACAGAUUUAUGAGUUAAAUCAUCAAGCAAAUGAACUGUUUGUUGAAAUGGUACUAAGAAUACUUUAUUUGAUUGUAAGUCUACAUUCAUCCAUAUCUUUUCUUAAAUAAAUUGAUAAUUUGUUACAAUCUCUCUAAAUUCUUACUUAUAUCAAUCUAAAUCAUUCCUCCCAAUACAUACAAAUGUGUUUGCUCAUUUGUUUUUUAGACAAUUCAGGGUAAAAUAAGGGUUCUUAUGUUUCGAAUUUACAGUUGUUUUAUUUUGACUCACAUAUUUUGAUAAUUUUUAUAUUUCAAAUAUUUUUAGGUAUACAUUGAAGGAUACUUGGUGAAAGCUGUAAAGAAUAUUUGGUGUAAGCUGUAAAGUAAUGGGUCUUAUGCAAUAUGUUGUUUCUCUAUUUUCUGCACGUUUGUAUUUUUUGUAUUCCGUCUUUUGUAAAAUUAACUAAUUAUACAUGGUUAUGAUGAUUUUUGGGUAUGGAAUGAUGGUUUUUUUGGUGGUUUGGAUAUGUAUUGAUGAUUGUAAGUUUUGUAGACAGGUUUAGAAUUUUCUGAAUAUCUAUUUUUAAAGGAAAUUUUGUCGAAAUUUCUUGAAAUUAGU
RNAcentral lists this long non-coding RNA (3207 nucleotides) under Panax ginseng (ginseng). RNAcentral's name for it is "long non-coding RNA (PGIN_LNC009351)". The record is from RNAcentral. Lineage: Eukaryota; Viridiplantae; Streptophyta; Magnoliopsida; Apiales; Araliaceae.